GCGGCUGUAGUUCAUUGGUAGAACGGCAGCUUCCCAAGCUGCAUAGGGGGGUUCGAUUCCCCUCAGCCGCUCCA
This 74-nucleotide transfer RNA is filed under the name Oscillospiraceae bacterium. RNAcentral describes it as "tRNA-Gly". It matches the Rfam family "tRNA". Rfam says of the family: Transfer RNA (tRNA) molecules are approximately 80 nucleotides in length. Their secondary structure includes four short double-helical elements and three loops (D, anti-codon, and T loops). The record is from RNAcentral. Lineage: Bacteria; Bacillati; Bacillota; Clostridia; Eubacteriales; Oscillospiraceae.